RNAcentral lists this long non-coding RNA (277 nucleotides) under Cairina moschata (Muscovy duck). RNAcentral's name for it is "domestica (muscovy Duck (domestic type)) lncRNA (ENSCMMG00000004415.1)". Lineage: Eukaryota; Metazoa; Chordata; Aves; Anseriformes; Anatidae. The record is from RNAcentral.
AAAUGACACUUGCUAAUUUGAAUUUCAGAACACACCUAAACCACAUUCUGAUCUCCAGAUUGUUGAUGUAUUCUUCGAAGUGAGAUAACCUGCACUGGUCACAGAGCUCCACGUGAGGAUUUACCAACUCUGAGCAGAUUGGAAGAAAUAUUUUGUGGAGGUGGCUGGUGUGGUACAGCUGUUGGUGGCUACAAGCAGUGCAAGUUUUGCUCCUCAUCUGAAGCUAAAGGAGAGGAUAAGCAAUAAACAUUUAUUAGCUUCUUGUGAGUAAAUAUUU